This 253-nucleotide ribosomal RNA is filed under the name uncultured bacterium. RNAcentral describes it as "partial 16S ribosomal RNA". It matches the Rfam family "Bacterial small subunit ribosomal RNA", at positions 524 to 776 of the family's 1533-position model. The record is from RNAcentral.
UACGUAGGGGGCAAGCGUUGUCCGGAAUCAUUGGGCGUAAAGAGCGUGUAGGCGGUCAGAUAAGUCCGCUGUGAAAUCUCGAGGCUCAACUUCGAGCUGUCGGUGGAAACUGUCUGGCUAGAGUCCGGAAGAGGAGAAUGGAAUUCCUGGUGUAGCGGUGAAAUGCGCAGAUAUCAGGAAGAACACCCGUGGCGAAGGCGGUUCUCUGGGACGGUACUGACGCUGAGACGCGAAAGCGUGGGGAGCGAACAGG